RNAcentral lists this ribosomal RNA (254 nucleotides) under uncultured bacterium. RNAcentral describes it as "partial 16S ribosomal RNA". It matches the Rfam family "Bacterial small subunit ribosomal RNA", at positions 524 to 776 of the family's 1533-position model. The record is from RNAcentral.
GACGUAGGGCGCGAGCGUUGUCCGGAUUUAUUGGGCGUAAAGAGCUCGUAGGCGGCUUAGAAAGUCAUGUGUGAAACCUCCAGGCUCAACCUGGAGACGCCACUUGAUACUUCUAUGACUUGAGUUUGGUAGGGGAUCACGGAAUUCCUGGUGUAGCGGUGAAAUGCGCAGAUAUCAGGAGGAACACCGAUGGCGAAGGCAGUGAUCUGGGCCAAUACUGACGCUGAGGAGCGAAAGCGUGGGGAGCGAACAGG